Xyrichtys novacula (pearly razorfish) is the source of this 1878-nucleotide non-coding RNA. NCBI's taxonomy places the organism in Eukaryota, Metazoa, Chordata, Actinopteri, Labriformes, Labridae. The record is from the annotation of a GenBank genome assembly.
GGGUGGCUUUACCCAGCGAUGAGGCAGACGGUGUCUAUUCUAUAUACAGUCUAUGGUUGGAACUAGUAAGUUGGAGGUUUUGCCUUAUGGCUUAGCUCCCUCUUCACCAUGACGAUUGCACCUCAAAACCAGCCUAUUCAUCUCAUGAUUUCAUAUUUCUUAUCUUAAUUUUAGUUUUUAUGUCUUUAUUGAGAGAAUUGGAUUAGGAAUGGGAACAAGAAAUUAUGAGGGGGGGAGGGCUGCAGUAUGAAUUCAAACACCAACCAGACCGUCUGCUUCGAGGAGUCUCUCUACACCAGGCAUGUAAUUUAACCACAAAGUCAAGCCAUUGCCAAUCGUGUGAUCUAUUUUACACUCAUUAGUGAACAAGAUCUCAAGAUACUUGAACCCAGAGAUCUAUGGCCUUGUAUUUAGAGGUGCUGACCCUUAUCCAAGCUGCUUCACAAUGCAUUACUCUAUGGUAUAUUAUUCCACCAUGGCACAAAUGACUCAAAAACUCUUGGAUGAACAGUUGCCAUUACCAGAUAAUGAGAUAGAGAUGGAUAGGGUGCAUACAACCAGUCUGGUGAUCCCAAACUAUUAGUCCAACAACAUCAUCAGAUCAAAAGUUCAUUUGUCUAUAAUUUAAGAUUAUCAUCAACAAGCCUUAGAACUAUUCUGUCGAAGGUUCAUAACCAAAUGUUAGACUAAGGUGAUUAAUACACACUGUAAGUGAUAAAUAUUGGCAUGAAAGUGUCAGCAUUAAAAUCACAGUACUGCUUUUAGGAGGUAUAAAGCUGUGGGCUCAGUGAUUCUCCCAAAAAUAAAUGUACACCUUUAAACAAACAUAAUUUGUUUCAUCCAAUAUGCAAAACAAAUCUCAUCAGUAUAUUGUUUAAUUGUUUGUAUUUCACAAUGAGAAAUCAUCUAGCAAUCUCUGAUGCCAUAUCUUAAAAUAUAGAUAUCCCUCAUGAAAUUAUAGCACAACAAUUUCGAACAAAUAAUAUAAGCAGAUGGUUUUUAGUACAUUUUGUUGUGUUAUUGUACUCCAGGUUAAAAAAAAAACACUUUUCCCAGCUCCUGAGUGUUUUAUCUCAGGCUGUUUUGCACAGAUUUAACUGUUCUGUAAAAUGAACCGCCCACUCUCCUCUCCUUCAGAUCUGCAGCUCUGGGACUAUUCCCUCGCCGAACUGUUUUUAGGACCAAAAAAGACAUUUUUAGCCUUAGGUGCUUCAUGCCAUGAACGAUGAAAGUUAAGAGGGAAAAACUGACAGGUAAAAUACAUUAAUACACUAGAGAAGAGGCAGGCUACAAAUAAGAGAUAGUUUGGUAAAAAAAAAAAAAAAAGAAAGAAAAAAGUGCUUUUACUUUUAAAAGUUUUACAGCUUAAAACAAUGGUAACAUUUGAUUGGAGUAUUGUAUUUAAACCACAUCUCUGUCACUUUCCCCUGUUGGUGCCAUAAUCAGGCUUUAAUAACAAUAGAGGGGAAAAUAUGGCUUAUACAUCAACUCAUGUUACAGUGGCAGAGUGAUGAAAGAAGCAAUUAUCGUUGUCAAGCCGUUCAUCGAGCUUUAUUGUUGCUUGCCAGCGUGCACGCCCAUUAUUGAUAUCUCUAUCCACCUUUAUCCUUAUUACACUCAGAAUAAUAGCCUGCUGACAUGUGGAAAAGCAUGGCCUCAUGGGAGCGUGUUACUAAACAUAGUGUUCAUGAGCUUUCAGUAUGAUCAUCUGGGAGCCUGUAAUUUACGAUAGAGAUUUGUGUCACUGUUCAAGGAGAUAGAAGAGCAUAGUCAUUUACAAACGGAGGGCUUUCUUUAAUAGGGAACCAGUGGAAGUCAUUAGCUUUAGCAGCGUGGUUUUAUUUGCCAUGUGCAUUAGCAGCAACAGAUCCCAAAUGG